AUUGAACGCUGGCGGCAGGCCUAACACAUGCAAGUCGAACGGUAACAGGAAGCAGCUUGCUGCUUUGCUGACGAGUGGCGGACGGGUGAGUAAUGUCUGGGAAACUGCCUGAUGGAGGGGGAUAACUACUGGAAACGGUAGCUAAUACCGCAUAACGUCGCAAGACCAAAGAGGGGGACCUUAGGGCCUCUUGCCAUCGGAUGUUCCCAGAUGGGAUUAGCUAGUAGGUGGGGUAACGGCUCACCUAGGCGACGAUCCCUAGCUGGUCUGAGAGGAUGACCAGCCACACUGGAACUGAGACACGGUCCAGACUCCUACGGGAGGCAGCAGUGGGGAAUAUUGCACAAUGGGCGCAAGCCUGAUGCAGCCAUGCCGCGUGUAUGAAGAAGGCCUUCGGGUUGUAAAGUACUUUCAGCGGGGAGGAAGGGAGUAAAGUUAAUACCUUUGCUAAUUGACGUUACCCGCAGAAGAAGCACCGGCUAACUCCGUG
This 490-nucleotide ribosomal RNA is filed under the name uncultured bacterium. RNAcentral's name for it is "partial 16S ribosomal RNA". It matches the Rfam family "Bacterial small subunit ribosomal RNA", at positions 30 to 507 of the family's 1533-position model. The record is from RNAcentral.